Molecule: ribosomal RNA, 796 nt
Filed under: uncultured archaeon
Lineage: Archaea
Description: bacterial SSU rRNA
Rfam family: Archaeal small subunit ribosomal RNA
Source: RNAcentral
CGGCUCANUAACACGUGGAUAACCUGCCCUUGGGUCCGGCAUAACCCCGGGAAACUGGGGAUAAUUCCGGAUAACGCACAUAUGCUGGAAUGCUUUAUGCGUAAAAUGGAUUCGUCUGCCCAAGGAUGGGUCUGCGGCCUAUCAGGUAGUAGUGGGUGUAAUGUACCUACUAGCCAACAACGGGUACGGGUUGUGAGAGCAAGAGCCCGGAGAUGGAUUCUGAGACAUGAAUCCAGGCCCUACGGGGCGCAGCAGGCGCGAAAACUUUACAAUGCGGGAAACCGUGAUAAGGGGACACCGAGUGCCAGCAUCAUAUGCUGGCUGUCCAGGUGUGUAAAAUACACCUGUUAGCAAGGGCCGGGCAAGACCGGUGCCAGCCGCCGCGGUAACACCGGCGGCCCGAGUGGUGAUCGUGAUUAUUGGGUCUAAAGGGUCCGUAGCCGGUUUGGUCAGUCCUCCGGGAAAUCUGACGGCUCAACCGUUAGGCUUUCGGGGGAUACUGCCAGGCUUGGAACCGGGAGAGGUAAGAGGUACUACAGGGGUAGGAGUGAAAUCUUGUAAUCCCUGUGAGACCACCUGUGGCGAAGGCGUCUUACCAGAACGGGUUCGACGGUGAGGGACGAAAGCUGGGGGCACGAACCGGAUUAGAUACCCGGGUAGUCCCAGCCGUAAACGAUGCUCGCUAGGUGUCAGGCAUGGCGCGACCGUGUCUGGUGCCGCAGGGAAGCCGUGAAGCGAGCCACCUGGGAAANUACGGCCGCAAGGCUGGANCUUUAAAGGAAUUGGCGGGGNNCAC